Molecule: long non-coding RNA, 518 nt
Filed under: Physcomitrium patens
Lineage: Eukaryota; Viridiplantae; Streptophyta; Bryopsida; Funariales; Funariaceae
Description: long non-coding RNA (PPAT_LNC010100)
Source: RNAcentral
GUUUCGUGAGGAUUGUUGUUGCUGCAUCUGCUGGAAACCAGAAAAGGGCUGUGCGCUCCCGAAGGCUGGCUGUGCGCUCCCGAAGGCUGGCUGUGCGCUUCCGAAGGCUGAAACUUGACUUUGAUUGCUUGCUCCUCCGAAUAAAGAAGACCCUUCUGCUUCAGGUUUAGCGCUUUGUGCUCCAAAAACUGAAGUUUGAAAGAGCUGUGCGCUUCCGAAGGUCGACUGUGAAAGUCCGAAGCCUGCCGGUGAGCUUCCGAAGGCUGGCUGUGCGCUUCCGAAGGCUGAAACUGGACUUUGAUUGCUUGCUCCUCCGAAUAAAGAUGGCCCUCCUGCUUCAGGUGUAGCGCUUUGUGCUCCAAAAACUGAAGUUUGAAAGGGCUGUGCGCUUCCGAAGGUCGACUGUGAAAGUCCGAAGCCUGCCGGUGAGCUUCCGAAGGCUGGCUGUGCGCUUCCGAAGGCUGAAACUGGACUUUGAUUGCUUGCUCCUCCGAAUAAAGAUGGCCCUCCUGCUUCAG